CAUGCUAACCGGGGAGUCAGCGGUGCCUUGUAACCUGCCAUCCGCUACAGCAGGGGUGAAGUCCCCGAUCGAGGAUCGGCACCGUACGGCAGCCGUAUGUCUUCUGUGUUGAAGAAUUGGUCCUGCGCAACCGGGACCCGUGAACCAUGUCAGGUGGGGAACCAAGCAGCAUUAAUCGGUCAUUCCGGUGUGCCGCGGGGGCGCCUGUUCAGAGCAGAAGUCAUUCAAAGCGCGUAUGGCGACGCAUUCGAAGCGGGGUGCAUG
This 264-nucleotide signal recognition particle RNA is filed under the name bovine gut metagenome. RNAcentral describes it as "Bacterial large signal recognition particle RNA". It matches the Rfam family "Bacterial large signal recognition particle RNA". From Rfam's summary of the family: The signal recognition particle (SRP) is a universally conserved ribonucleoprotein involved in the co-translational targeting of proteins to membranes. Archaeal SRP consists of a 7S RNA and homologues of the eukaryotic SRP19 and SRP54 proteins. In most bacteria, the SRP consists of a 4.5S RNA and the Ffh protein (a homologue of the eukaryotic SRP54 protein). The record is from RNAcentral.